Equus caballus (horse) is the source of this 5595-nucleotide long non-coding RNA. RefSeq lists it as uncharacterized. Lineage: Eukaryota; Metazoa; Chordata; Mammalia; Perissodactyla; Equidae. The record is from RefSeq and is a predicted model, not a curated record.
CAUCCGCCCCCGCGGCCCCACCCGAGCGCGCCGGGAGAGGGGGCGUGCCCGGCGGGGGCGCGGUCGCCGGGCGGGCGCCGGCUCCGAGCGCCCGCACCCGCCUCACGCGGCGCGCUGGGCCGAUCGCAGGACCCAGCCGCGGGAUGCUGCCGCUACUCCUCUCUACUUGCUUUGCACUUGGGCUCUCCCCACCUCGAGGCUUCCUCGCACAGUGGUUCCCAUGUGGCUCAGUUUCUGCACCCUCUGCUGACCCUCUGAGUCUCCAGGGACAGACCCCUAGGAGGAAAUCUGGUCGACGAAUGGACAGCCCUGUGAACACAGCAAGAAGGUGGCCAUCUUCAAACCAGGAAGAGAAUUCUCACCAGAUGCUGAAUCUGCCGACACCUUGAUCUUGGGCUUCCAUCCUCCAGAACUGUGAGCAGUAAAUGUCUGUUGUUGAGCCAUCCAGCCUGUGGUAUUUUGUUAUAGCAGCCUGAGCUGACAGAGACACCCUGAUACAAGAAUCAUUAUCCCCUUGCACAGGGGGAAACCACCUCUGAGGCACAGCAGGCCACACUAAGGCCACACCCAGGGCUGGGGUUGGACCCCUGUUCAGAUUCCAAGCCCAGUUUGUCAGUUAGAAAUGCUUUGGGCUACAAGUAACAGAACCCAGUUAAUAGUCAUUUAAAUAAAUAGAGGUCUCCCUUAAUAAGAUGUCAGGAGGUGGGCCUUCUCAGGACUGAAGAAGUGGCUCAAGUGUGCCCACAGGGACUCAUCUCCUUCUCCCUGCCCCUCCACUAUCUUUAAAGUGUUGAUGUUCUGCGCUAGAGACACUGGCCACAGCUCCAGGUCCACAGUUAGGGUUAGAAACAGGGAUUCAGGGGAUGGUAGACACACAUGACCUCCACCCGCUGUGAGAAAGCAGCACCUUUCCCAGAAGACUUCAGCUUCACCUGGCCCAGCCACAGCAGUGACAGGAGACUGAGGAAGCGAGUCCCUGACUUCCCAGCCCUUGUGGGAGGCAGCAUGGGACAGGGGCUGGGCACAUCCCGUGUCGGCCACCCCCAGCAUCUCCUUACAGAUCCUGCUUUCUGAUUCAGGGUGUUUGCUAACCAGGGACAGUUCAAGGGACUCAUUCAAAUUCUCACUGCCCUGCCCUGUAAGUUUUAGGUGGAUACUUAGCAAAUGAGCAUGCUCUGAUGUGUAAGUAUUAUUUUCCUAGGGGGGCGGAACAGGAGAUGAAGUGUUCCUAAUUCCAUACCUCUGACCUGCCUCUGAGAUAUUCCAGGGUUUUCUGAUGAGGGUUGCUGGCUGGUUUGUUGGAGGGCUAGCAUGGGCAUGGGAUUUUCAGGGUCAUGGUGAGCAUGGUCGAAGUGGCUGUGACCCCACGGAGCCUCCUCCCAGGUGGGAUGGGGGGGUCCCCUGGAUCUAAAGGGAAUGCGUCCUCCAGUCUUUCUUCCUCCAGCUAUGCAGUGUGCCUCUGUCUUCUUCCACUAAGAUGAAUGGUGCUGCACAGGGUCACCCUAAUGCAGACCACAGCUUUGAGGGAAGCCCUUUCCACACAGCUGUUUCCUGGUUCGAGGCACUGCCCACCCGCCCCAUGGGGACACCCAGUGGUAACCUGCCUUUCAUCUGCUCUCACCAUCCUGAGGGGAUCCCCUGCCCUGUGGUUUCCCUACACUGCUCACUGUUCUCAAGGCCUCAAGAGCCACUCCCCGGGGUAUGUGGGUGCAUUUGCAACUGUGGCCAGCAGGACCCUUGCUCCUUCAGGUUAGCUGGCGACACACACAGAGUUCAACGUUUCUCCCGAAAGCCAGAGUAGCCACAACAUUCUUAUUUGGAAUAUUAUCAUAAAGUUAAUUUAGUUCCAUGAAUGUUGGCUGGGUAUAGGCAUUGAGGUAUGGCUUCUGGGCUAAGUACUAAGGGUGCCAAAAUGCAGAAGAAGCUCACAGCCAGGACACGGGACCCUCUGCAGAGAGAAGGGAACAGAGCUGGCCAGAGCCAGGAGGGACUUCCGGGAAGGUGAGGUGUGUGUAGGGGCUGGGUCGGGUAAUGGAAGUCUGUGAGACAGGAAGUUAUUCAGGUGUGAUGGCAGAAGUAACCCAGGACCAGAGAAGUGUGUUCAGGGGCCAGGAAGUUCCGCCUGGCUGGAGGACAGUGCUCUAGGAGGCAGGUGACACCUGCUGGUACAGGGGCCCCAAGAAGCUUGGCAAGGGCAGAGGGUCAUGUGCUGGGGGUGUCCCUGACAUAGGUAGGAGCCUGAGUUGGGGAUCCCAGGAGAGUUGACAUCCUGGCCCAGGUGGCUGGAUGCCAUAGGAAGGCAGAGAGAAGGUUGAGAAGUUCAGAAAGGGAAAGGGAAGGAGGGGCCGGGGAGCCUCAGGGAUGGCUGAGAGGAACAUACCCUGAAGGGCUGGGUCCUUCAAACCUUGGCUCUGCUGUGCCACGCUGGGCUGACUAGAGAACCUCUCUGAGCCUGCUUCCCCAUCGGAAAACUGUGGAAAACACCCUUGUGAGAGAAGCAUCAAAUAACGUAAUGCUGGGAGGCAUGGGUAUGGUGCCCAGUAUGUGGCAGGUGCGUGUACCACAGCAGUUUUCUUCUCUCCUUCAAGUCUAGUGUCACCAUUAGUCACCAAGUGACCUGGAGACCCCGUUUCAUCAGGCAAGGUCAGGUCCCCUCCCCUGGCCCUGUUCUAGGUGAGGUCCUGGGCCUCUGGGUCUUACCAUGGCCAUGUCCCUAGCAAAGGCAGUAUUCUCACCAUGGACCCUUGAGGUCCCUGGGUGGUGGCACAGGGAGCAGAUGCUGGCAGCUGCUGCUGGCCCUACAAUGUGGCUUUUGUCAGCUGGGUUGGCUGUCCAGCCCAGAAUGACCUGUGCUGGGGAACAAUUCCCUAGGCUUUCCAGAGCGUUGCCGUGAGCUCUCAACAAAGCAUGGGAGAGCAGUUGCUGCAAGGCUUUGGGCAAUGCUUUUGUUAUGCAAAUAUAGGGGGCGGUUCCCAGCUCACUCUCCCCUCAGCACACUAGCUAUUUUGUGAUGCAGAUCCAGUAAGGCCUCUGCCCUAGGCCUUGGAGCUUGCUCUGCUCACCCCCAAGAUCCUCCCCAGCCAGGCUUAGUGAGCACCUCUGGGCACCAUGCUGGCCUCAGGACCUGGCUCUCGAGGACUCCUCUGUUCAGCAGGAGGUGACAGGCCCAGAGAAAAGAAGCAGAGGCAGGAGGACAUCACCUCAAAUUGUGCAACCAGCAGGGAAGAACUAGACCAGGCAGCUAGGAGAGGCCCCUCUGAGCAGGCUUAGGCUGAGCUGGCUGGGAACAGCGUAUGGGGUAGACAGCCUAGUAGGCAGAGGGACUGCGAGUGCCGAGGCCCCAGGGUGGGACAGCCAGUUCCAGGGCAAGACUGGCUGGUGGGAGGAGGGCCCAUCCAUGGUCUCCUGGGCCUGCAUGGCCAAAGGGAAGGGCCUGAGCCCCAGACCAACACACUCAGGUGCCCUUCCAAUCCACGGCACACCAGCCUGGAUGGUGAUUUGGCAAAUUUCCAAAUUUCUCUGAGCCUUGGUUUCUUCAUCUGUAAAACAUGGAUAGGAAUAGCCUCUAUCAUAGGGUUGUGGUGAGAUGAAAUGAGAUAAUCCAGAUAAAAUAUUGAGUUCAGCGCCUGGCACAUAACAGGCAUGCAAUGUCUGAUGAUAAUGGACAGCAAUUUGGCAAUAUUUACCAAACUUGGAAGUAUCCACUCAUUUCCCAAUAAUGCUAACUCUAGGAAUUUUUCCUACAAAUAUUCUUGCAUGUACAAAAUGACAUAUGUUCAAGGUUGUUCUUCACAGAUUUCUUUGUAGCAGCUGGAGAUUGGAAAUGGCCCAACUGUCCAUCUAUAGGGGUUGGUUAAAUGGAUUAUGGUUGUCCACUCAUUUAGUACUCUUCAGCCAAAACAAGAAGGAAGUUGUCUUGUGUACCCAUAUAGAGGAACUGACUGCACAGGAGCUGGAGGGGUAAACCAGCCCCCUGCACAGCGAAGUCAGUGCCCUAUGAAAAGAAUGGGGCCGAGCAUCACAGGGGCCUAGGAUACACUGGACCCAGGGAAGAGGGAGGGUGUGCCAGGAAGAGUGGUGUGCAGGGCCAGGGUUGCAGCUGUUACAUAUACACACCUGGAGGUAGAGAUUGUCUCCUGCAGAGACAGACUGUCUUGGGACGAGGUGGCACACACAGCUCUGCAGUGAUGGAAUAAUACAAUCAGUCACCAUGGCAACAACUGGCAGUUGUAAUUUUCAGAAAGUGGGCAGUGCCCAGAACACAGGAAGAGGCUGCAGGCUCCCGGCAGGGUUGCCUCCAGGCAGCACCUCUGUAACCCUGGGUGUGCGUGUGGCACAGCAGUGUCCUGGGCCUCAGUCUCCCCAUCUGUAAAAUGAGGAUCUGACUGGGGACACCUCUCCACCAUGGCACCGGAAGGAGAGACUGAGAGAAAAGACGAGAGCAUACUUUAGAACAGGCAUGGGACUCUGCAGACACAAAGGCUGUUAGCCUCCCAAGGCAGGCCCAGAGGGAUGGCUUCGUCCCACUUCUAUUCCCUAUUGCCCUCAUUAGAGACAGCUACGCGCAGCUCUGAACUUCUGUCACCAAAGCUUCUUCUGGAUAAAUAAAUAUUGACUAGAGAAGAGGAAGAAGGCAGAUUGCAUUUCCUUUUGGGAGGUGGCUACCCAGCCAUGCUGCCCACAGGGGCCAUCUGUAUGAACCCAGGUGUGAGUCCCUGCCUGGUGCUAUCCACCCGCUUUCCAAGAAGCUUGCCCCACCCCCCGGCAACACCACCCCCAGCCCUUUCAGCUUUGAAAAGUAAUUCUACCAUUCCCAUCUCCCUAGGAAACACCACCCAGACCACUGGCCUUGCCCCGUGGCAUGAAGCCAAACUCCCGUGGAACAUGGAUAGCUAUGGGGGUUGGGCUAUGAUGGUGGUGCUCAGCACCUCCCAGGCCUGACCCUGCUGCGAAAGGGAGCAAAUGAUCUCUGACCUCUGGAUGUGGCAACCCCAGCCCAGCACGCAGCCCCUCCUCUGUCCACAUGGGCCUGGGACGCACAAGGCCUCAUGUCCCCUCUUGAGACUGACCUUGUAGAUCAACACAGAGAAUAAGAGUAGGGAAGGCUAUAGGGGGCCUCAUGGAGGCGAGGAGCCUGGAAGGGCCACGGACUGCGCUUCUCUCCAGGUUUUUUAGGUGGUGCCCACCCCCUCCGCCAGGGCCCGGUUGGGGCGCUGGCCAGGCUGGCUCCAGGCAGCAGCCUCCCUGUUCCCCCUUCCCCACUGCUGUCUCACCGACACCCCACAGCCCGCUCAUCAGCCUUGUCAGGGCCUCUGCACUUGUCCCCCAUCUCUUCAGGGCCCCACCCUCCCCACCUCGCUGGAAUUAGGAGGGGUUGACCUUGGGGGUUGUCUUAGUUCUCAAUAGCUUAGUUCUCAAACCACAGUCUGGGGCGGACAGGGAGGGUGAGCCACACUCAGCGGGCAAGAGUGACCACUCUCAAGCACCUUUUAAGAACAAACAGUAGUAGGGGCUGGCCCUGUGGCUGAGUGGUCAAGUUCGCGCACUCCGCUGCAGGUGGCCCAGUAUUUCGUUGGUUUGAAUCCUGGGUGUGGA